CACCGCGGUUAUACGAGAGGCCCAAGUUGACAGAUACCGGCGUAAAGAGUGGUUAAGUUGAAACUUAAACUAAAGCCAAACAUCUUCAAGACUGUUAUACGUACCCGAAGGCAGGAAACUCAACCACGAAAGUAACUUUAUUUAAUCUGACCCCACGAAAGCUACGGCA
RNAcentral lists this ribosomal RNA (169 nucleotides) under Eumicrotremus orbis (Pacific spiny lumpsucker). RNAcentral's name for it is "partial 12S rRNA". The record is from RNAcentral. Lineage: Eukaryota; Metazoa; Chordata; Actinopteri; Perciformes; Cyclopteridae.